AGAGACCUGAGGUUUGCGGCGCUGGUCCCGGCCGGGUUGCUGCGUCGGGGCUGGAGGUGAGGCGAAAGAAGGACAACCUCUGAUGGGAGUGGACCGGAGUCCGCUAAAGCGAAACAUUCCAGGGUUCGUUGCGGGGAAAUACAGUCUGGUUUUGCCCCCCGUAUGAAUUGAGGGAAGCCAAGGUUAGGAAUUUGUAACAUGUCAUCUUUCAAGGAAGCAUCUAACCAAGAUUAAGUCAAAGGCAUCUACCAGGUCCUGAAUUCUCUCCCAGAUGCACACCUUUUAAGGUCAAGGAUGCAUUCCAGGAAAGUUCCAUAAAAAUAUACCAUCAGCUCCAACCCGAUAUUUGACCUAGCCAUGGAAAACCUCAUUGGCUCCUCACUAGAUCAGACCAUAAAAAUGAUUCAGGAAUGAAAAUCUAAGAUAAAUUCCCACCACUUCAAGAUGUUCUUAUACAAGUCAACAGUCUAGCAGAUCAGCUAGUCUCUUUCAUCAUCAAGCAGACAUACUCAAGAAAGAGGAAUAGUGAAGUGAAAUAUACAGAAGCAUGUUCAAGUUCAUCUGU
Long non-coding RNA from Macaca fascicularis (crab-eating macaque), 565 nucleotides. NCBI's taxonomy places the organism in Eukaryota, Metazoa, Chordata, Mammalia, Primates, Cercopithecidae. The record is from Ensembl.